This 1432-nucleotide long non-coding RNA is filed under the name Rattus norvegicus (Norway rat). Its description in RNAcentral is "long non-coding RNA NONRATT030052". The record is from RNAcentral. Lineage: Eukaryota; Metazoa; Chordata; Mammalia; Rodentia; Muridae.
UUUCGUAGACUUUGUAUAUACAUCCCAAGUAAUAUUUCACAACCCUGUAACAUUUGCUUCCUAUUCCUUGGGUUAUAAUUUGGUCUCAGUGAAGAAAUUCUUCAUAUACACUUUAUAACCAGGGUCUUAGAAUACAUUUUCUGUAUAAAAUAACAGUUAAAAUGAAAUUAAUUAAAAUUAAACAAACUAUCCAAUUUUCUAAUGAUAUUUUCAACCAUUUUGUGUUACCAGCAUUGAAUUUAAAAUGAUUUUUGUAAAGUUACUCAGCAGCUGUUAGAAAUGUCAUAGAAAGUCAGAAAUGUCCGUACUUUAUCCUUUAACAAAUUCCCUUUAAUAUUUCUCCACUUUCAUGAAGCAUCAUCACACUAAUAGAAAAAGGACAUUUUGGGGAAAAUAUUUGUUUUAUAUAAUUCAAAAAAUGACCGAUGCCAUCUGCACUGGGUUAAGGACUACAAUAUCUGAAGGUUUGAAGAGUUCUUCUAUAUGACUUUCAGUUACUUUUACUGGUAAGAAAGCUAAAAUAUAAAGUAAAAACUUAACUUAGAAGCUGGGGAGGGAAGAGUUGUCUUUUAAAAUCUUGGUCCUUUACCAACAUCCCUUUUUUCCCAGCCCACUGUUGUGUGCCCAUUUAUUGCAGAUCAGGAUUUCUGUGCUAGAAGAGACCCUAGAAAUAACUUGGCUCUUCUCUCUGCCACACAUGCAUUCAUCAUCAGGGCACUGAGGCUCAGCAGAGGUUGUAGACUAAGUAAGGCCCAUGGCUAAGAAGCUGGGCCAUAGUCAAACCUUGUCUCUAGUCCCGUUCAUGUUGAUGCCUCUUUGCCUCUAGUUAUCCAGACUUUGGUAAAUGUGAUAUGAAACACUUCCAUUUCUGCUGUUUCUUUGUUUCUGCCCCAGUACCUGAUGAACACAUUAAGAAAGAUAUUAAUUCCAGAGGGAAAAAAAGUAAAAUAAUUAAUACAGAUGGGGAUGUGUUCAAAAUGCACAUUAUUCUUUUCUAAUUUAUGCCUUGUGAAUUUUCUACCACAUAACAGUUAUAUGCUGCCAGGUUAUUUGUAUUUCUGGGGAUUUGUUUAAAUGCAAAAUAAACCCAAUGAAAUUUCCUUGAUCAGUGUUUCUAACUAUUUAAAAGCUAUACUGCGGAGGAUUGCAAAGUAAAGAUAAAGCUCAGUUCCAUUAAUUUUUAAUCUAGAGAGAGAAUGUUCCUUACUGUGCUUAGAGAAGAUUAAGAGCAAUAUUCCUCAAUGUGAUUGAAGAGAUUUACAGUGAGUGUAAAUGUAUGAGUCCAUGAGCAGUGGUCUCUGUCAUUAUAACAUAAACCGUAUAAAAUGACUCAAGGGUGGUAGUCUUAGCCACAGAGUGCAGUGUCUCCAACCGGUAGUCUCAUCCCACUUAGUAGCUUUUAAAUUUGUUAGAAGAGCUCUCUCGUGCUGUG